UACGGAGGGGGCUAGCGUUGUUCGGAAUUACUGGGCGUAAAGCGCACGUAGGCGGACCGGAAAGUUGGGGGUGAAAUCCCGGGGCUCAACCUCGGAACUGCCUUCAAAACUAUUGGUCUGGAGUUCGAGAGAGGUGAGUGGAAUUCCGAGUGUAGAGGUGAAAUUCGUAGAUAUUCGGAGGAACACCAGUGGCGAAGGCGGCUCACUGGCUCGAUACUGACGCUGAGGUGCGAAAGCGUGGGGAGCAAACAGG
RNAcentral lists this ribosomal RNA (253 nucleotides) under uncultured Paracoccus sp. RNAcentral describes it as "partial 16S ribosomal RNA". It matches the Rfam family "Bacterial small subunit ribosomal RNA", at positions 524 to 776 of the family's 1533-position model. Lineage: Bacteria; Pseudomonadati; Pseudomonadota; Alphaproteobacteria; Rhodobacterales; Paracoccaceae. The record is from RNAcentral.